RNAcentral lists this ribosomal RNA (253 nucleotides) under uncultured bacterium. RNAcentral describes it as "partial 16S ribosomal RNA". It matches the Rfam family "Bacterial small subunit ribosomal RNA", at positions 524 to 776 of the family's 1533-position model. The record is from RNAcentral.
UACGUAGGGGGCAAGCGUUAUCCGGAAUUACUGGGUGUAAAGGGUGCGUAGGCGGCAAUGUAAGUCAGAUGUGAAAGCCCGGGGCUCAACUCCGGGAUUGCAUUUGAAACUGCAUAGCUAGAGUACAGGAGAGGUGAGUGGAAUUCCUAGUGUAGCGGUGAAAUGCGUAGAUAUUAGGAGGAACACCAGUGGCGAAGGCGACUCACUGGACUGUAACUGACGCUGAGGCACGAAAGCGUGGGGAGCGAACAGG